Molecule: long non-coding RNA, 392 nt
Filed under: Nicotiana benthamiana
Lineage: Eukaryota; Viridiplantae; Streptophyta; Magnoliopsida; Solanales; Solanaceae
Description: long non-coding RNA (NBEN_LNC012123)
Source: RNAcentral
AUAACGAUAAGCAUAUGUACAAAUCGAUAAUCGAUAAGUAAUUAUCGAUAAGGGUCAAAAUUGAAUCGAUAAAUCGAUUGCACAUCCCUAGUUUGGUAAUUAAGACAGAAUCAAAUAUUAAUUGGGAAGCUUAAAAUAUGGCGCUAUUUUAGGCAAUAAAAUCAGCCAGAUAUGGUUUGGUACAUUUUUUGUAACGAAAACAUGGAAUAUGCGGGUAAUAACCAAACAAGACAUAAUAAUGGUAAUAAGGUUUGCUAUAUGGCAUAUUUAGGCAAAAAUCCCUAUUACUUUUACCCGAUAUAUACCAACCUCUACACAAUAGACACUGAAAUUGGCAAGUCAAUUGACUUGACAAGAAUUUCGCCCUCCCCCACCCACCCCACAAACCGCAC